AUGCCUCAGUAACGGCGAGUGAGCGGCAAAAGCUCAAAUUUGAAAUCCUUCGGGAGUUGUAAUUUGUAGAGGGGUGUCUUUGGGGCGGCAUUGUCUAUGUUCCUUGGAACAGGACGUCACAGAGGGUGAGAAUCCCGUGCGAUGAUGCCUCAACCAGUACAAGACCCUCUCGACGAGUCGAGUUGUUUGGGAAUGCAGCUCUAAGUGGGUGGUAAAUUCCAUCUAAAGCUAAAUACUGGCGAGAGACCGAUAGCGAACAAGUACAGUGAUGGAAAGAUGAAAAGCACUUUGAAAAGAGAGUGAAACAGUACGUGAAAUUGUUGAAAGGGAAGGGUAGGAGGUGAGGGGAAGAGCUGCUUAGGCGCGGGAGAUAAACAAGCAGGAAGCGCUUCGGUGCGGCCUGGUAAAUAUCCCGUGCUUGUGUGGUUCUUCCGUAAUCCCCUUCUACCGCCCGUCUUGAA
RNAcentral lists this ribosomal RNA (461 nucleotides) under Diutina catenulata. RNAcentral's name for it is "eukaryotic LSU rRNA". It matches the Rfam family "Eukaryotic large subunit ribosomal RNA", at positions 73 to 658 of the family's 3401-position model. Lineage: Eukaryota; Fungi; Ascomycota; Pichiomycetes; Serinales; Debaryomycetaceae. The record is from RNAcentral.